This 264-nucleotide unclassified non-coding RNA is filed under the name uncultured Pleosporales. RNAcentral's name for it is "sequence contains 5.8S rRNA gene, ITS2, 28S rRNA gene". The stretch from base 1 to 52 matches the Rfam family "5.8S ribosomal RNA", at positions 103 to 154 of the family's 154-position model. Lineage: Eukaryota; Fungi; Ascomycota; Dothideomycetes; Pleosporales. The record is from RNAcentral.
AACGCACAUUGCGCCCUUUGGUAUUCCAAAGGGCAUGCCUGUUCGAGCGUCAUUUGUACCUUCAAGCUUUGCUUGGUGUUGGGCGUUUUUUGUCUCCCUCUUGCUGGGAGACUCGCCUUAAAACGAUUGGCAGCCGGCCUACUGGUUUCGGAGCGCAGCACAUAUUUUGCACUCUGUGUCAGGAGAAAAGGACGGUAGUCCAUCAAGACUCUACAAAUUUUAACUUUUGACCUCGGAUCAGGUAGGGAUACCCGCUGAACUUAA